This is a long non-coding RNA of Oncorhynchus tshawytscha (Chinook salmon), 1027 nucleotides long. Lineage: Eukaryota; Metazoa; Chordata; Actinopteri; Salmoniformes; Salmonidae. The record is from Ensembl.
AAGCUUUAUACUGGCUCAGUUUUCAGUACCUCAGAGAUGAAGCUUUAUACUGGCUCAGUUUUCAGUACCUCAGAGAUGAAGCUUUAUACUGGCUCAGUGUUCAGUGCCUCAGAGAUGAAGCUUUAUACUGGCUCAGUGUUCAGUACCUCAAAGAGGAAGCUUUAUACUGGCUCAGUGUUCAGUACCUCAAAGAGGAAGCUUUAUACUGGCUCAGUGUUCAGUGCCUCACUAACUCAGAGAUGAAGCUUUAUACUGGCUCAGUGUUCAGUACCUCAGAGAUGAAGCUUCAUACUGGCUCAGUGUUCAGUACCUCACUAGCUCAGAGAUGAAGCUUUAUACUGGCUCAGUGUUCAGUACCUCAGAGAUGAAGCUUUAUACUGGCUCAGUGUUCAGUACCUCAGAGAGGAAGAUAUAUACAGGGUCACUGCCAGUACCACAUUUACAAUGUGCAGGGGUAAUGGAGUAUUGAGGUAGAUAUGGACAUGUUGUCAAGGAUACUGGAACAUUGAGGUAGAUAGGGACAUAUAUGCAGGGAUACUGGAGUAUUGAGGUAGAUAGGGACAUAUAUGCAGGGAUACUGGAGUAUUGAGGUAGAUAUGGACAUAUAGGCAGGGAUACUGGAGUAUUGAGGUAGAUAUGGACAUAUAGGCAGGGAUACUGGAGUAUUGAGGUAGAUAUGGACAUAGGCAGGGAUACUGGAGUAUUGAGGUAGAUAUGGACAUAUAGGCAGGGAUACUGGAGUAUUGAGGUAGAUAUGGACAUAUAGGCAGGGAUACUGGAGUAUAAAGGGAUUUCUUGAAAGUGACUGGUAGCAGAAAAUAAUGACUGGUAUAUAAAUAAUAAUAUUAAUAAUGUUAAUAAUAAUAUUAUUAUGAAUAAUGAUAAUGAUAAUAUGUAAUAAUGAUAAUGACAAUAAUAAUAAUGAUAAUAACACCAAUGAUCAUAAUAAUAAUAAUAUUAUGAAUAAUAAUAAUGAUAAUAUUAUUAAUAAUACAAUAAUAAUAUAAAUAAUAAUAAUGAUAAUAUA